UUAAAUGCCGUGAAGAGAAAAGUAGACAGCGCGUAUUCUUAGCAGAGAGCUCCGGAAGCUGAAAAGGAGCAAGAGAAACGCUGUUGAAGCAAGCCUCUGAGCAGCGCAUUGGAUCUAACGUGAUAGUGCGACGGCUGCUUCCGUUACAAAGCUAGAGUAUAAGCGAAAGCCGUACUCGAUAAGGUUUAUAUGGCGACAUAUGAACAAACUAGGGUGGCACCGCGAUUCAUAAUCUCGCCCCUAAG
This 245-nucleotide non-coding RNA is filed under the name Priestia megaterium. Its description in RNAcentral is "Bacillus megaterium T-box sequence". It matches the Rfam family "T-box leader". From Rfam's summary of the family: Uncharged tRNA acts as the effector for transcription antitermination of genes in the T-box leader family. The record is from RNAcentral. Lineage: Bacteria; Bacillati; Bacillota; Bacilli; Caryophanales; Bacillaceae.